GGAUGUGAGAGCUAUCUGGCUGGAACGUCUGUCACCCCAUUGUUUCCCAGGGGUGAACCAGCUGAUCUGGCUAAUAGGCAGGUGUUCUCUUCCUCCUGCAUAACUCUGUGCAUGUCUCUUCUGAAAUUGCAGCUGUGAGUUUGGUGGAAGAGGACAACUACUCUCAAUAGAGGAGGAGUGGUGCUCCUUACCAGUUUCCCUCUGUCAAAAGUAAUCACUAGAUCUUU
Unclassified non-coding RNA from Cavia porcellus (domestic guinea pig), 227 nucleotides. Its record names the gene 7SK. It matches the Rfam family "7SK RNA". Rfam says of the family: 7SK was discovered as an abundant small nuclear RNA in the mid-70s but a possible function has only recently been suggested. Lineage: Eukaryota; Metazoa; Chordata; Mammalia; Rodentia; Caviidae. The record is from Ensembl.